This 85-nucleotide transfer RNA is filed under the name Felis catus (domestic cat). It matches the Rfam family "tRNA". Rfam says of the family: Transfer RNA (tRNA) molecules are approximately 80 nucleotides in length. Their secondary structure includes four short double-helical elements and three loops (D, anti-codon, and T loops). Lineage: Eukaryota; Metazoa; Chordata; Mammalia; Carnivora; Felidae. The record is from Rfam by way of RNAcentral.
ACCUGGUUGGCUCAGUCAGUUAAGCAUCUGACUUUGGCUCAGGUCAUGAUCUCGCAGCUAGUGAGUUCGAGUCCCACAUCAGGCU